This 256-nucleotide ribosomal RNA is filed under the name uncultured bacterium. Its description in RNAcentral is "partial 16S ribosomal RNA". It matches the Rfam family "Bacterial small subunit ribosomal RNA", at positions 524 to 776 of the family's 1533-position model. The record is from RNAcentral.
UACGGGGGGAGCAAGCGUUGUUCGGAUUUACUGGGCGUAAAGGGCGCGUAGGCGGUCGUGACAAGUCACUUGUGAAAUCUCCGGGCUUAACUCGGAACGGUCAAGUGAUACUGUCGGACUAGAGUACAGAAGGGGGCAACUGGAAUUCUCGGUGUAGCGGUGAAAUGCGUAGAUAUCGAGAGGAACACCUGCGGCGAAGGCGGGUUGCUGGGCUGAUACUGACGCUGGAGGCGCGAAAGCCAGGGGAGCGAACGGG